AACACUUCGAAAUAAAAUUAUGAAUAUUAAAUUUAUAUUACUUCUAUUUUCAAUUGGGUUAUCCUGUUCAAUAGGAAAUGAAUUAAUGGAAGCAUUUUACAAACAUGCCAAAAGAGUUUCAGUUCAAAUGUAUCCAUGUGAAGUACCCAAACCAAAAGUGAUUUACCUUCAAGAUAUUCUAAACAGUGAGCAAUGGGCAAAAUAUAUGAUAUAUAUACGUCAUAUAAGACCCGUCCAGACAGUGGUCCAUAGAUGUGAAGGUAAUGGAUGCUGUCCAAAAUAUAAUCAGAGAUGUAUAGUAGAACGUGAAGAACCUAUACGAGUGAUGUUUUACAUCAGUUUUGUAAAAAUAUUCAUGGAAUUAAAAUUGAUGAAUCAUACACAAUGCAGUUGUAAAUUAAUGUAAAAUUUUGGGAAAAAUAAAAAUUAUUCACUGUUACCAGUCUCAA
This is a long non-coding RNA of Diorhabda carinulata, 449 nucleotides long. RefSeq lists it as uncharacterized. Lineage: Eukaryota; Metazoa; Arthropoda; Insecta; Coleoptera; Chrysomelidae. The transcript has 2 exons. The record is from RefSeq and is a predicted model, not a curated record.